GGAAUCUUCCACAAUGGACGCAAGUCUGAUGGAGCAAUGCCGCGUGAGUGAAGAAGGGUUUCGGCUCGUAAAGCUCUGUUGUUAAAGAAGAACGUGGGUAAGAGUAACUGUUUACCCAGUGACGGUAUUUAACCAGAAAGCCACGGCUAACUACGUGCCAG
RNAcentral lists this ribosomal RNA (161 nucleotides) under uncultured bacterium. RNAcentral's name for it is "partial 16S ribosomal RNA". It matches the Rfam family "Bacterial small subunit ribosomal RNA", at positions 358 to 511 of the family's 1533-position model. The record is from RNAcentral.